RNAcentral lists this ribosomal RNA (2266 nucleotides) under Campylobacter coli. RNAcentral describes it as "partial 23S ribosomal RNA". It matches the Rfam family "Bacterial large subunit ribosomal RNA", at positions 821 to 2925 of the family's 2925-position model. The record is from RNAcentral. Lineage: Bacteria; Pseudomonadati; Campylobacterota; Epsilonproteobacteria; Campylobacterales; Campylobacteraceae.
GUGAAAGGCCAAUCAAACUUCGUGAUAGCUGGUUCUCUCCGAAAUAUAUUUAGGUAUAGCGUUGUGUCGUAAUAUAAGGGGGUAGAGCACUGAAUGGGCUAGGGCAUACACCAAUGUACCAAACCCUAUCAAACUCCGAAUACCUUAUAUGUAAUCACAGCAGUCAGGCGGCGAGUGAUAAAAUCCGUCGUCAAGAGGGAAACAACCCAGACUACCAGCUAAGGUCCCUAAAUCUUACUUAAGUGGAAAACGAUGUGAAGUUACUUAAACAACCAGGAGGUUGGCUUAGAAGCAGCCAUCCUUUAAAGAAAGCGUAAUAGCUCACUGGUCUAGUGAUUUUGCGCGGAAAAUAUAACGGGGCUAAAGUAAGUACCGAAGCUGUAGACUUGUGCACAACUUAGAUUAUUUAAGUUUAGAAUAUGAGAAACUAAGUUAUAUGUUUAGUUAUAUUUUUACUGAUUUUUAUAGAGUAAAGAUAGAAAUAAAACUUAGUAAAAUCAGUAAAAAUAUUCUUAGACUAAAGUUAAGUAGUUUAAGUUGUGUGCAAGUGGUAGGAGAGCGUUCUAUUUGCGUCGAAGGUAUACCGGUAAGGAGUGCUGGAGCGAAUAGAAGUGAGCAUGCAGGCAUGAGUAGCGAUAAUUAAUGUGAGAAUCAUUAACGCCGUAAACCCAAGGUUUCCUACGCGAUGCUCGUCAUCGUAGGGUUAGUCGGGUCCUAAGUCGAGUCCGAAAGGGGUAGACGAUGGCAAAUUGGUUAAUAUUCCAAUACCAACAUUAGUGUGCGAUGGAAGGACGCUUAGGGCUAAGGGGGCUAGCGGAUGGAAGUGCUAGUCUAAGGUCGUAGGAGGUUAUACAGGCAAAUCCGUAUAACAAUACUCCGAGAACUGAAAGGCUUUUUGAAGUCUUCGGAUGGAUAGAAGAACCCCUGAUGCCAUCGAGCCAAGAAAAGUUUCUAAGUUUAGCUAAUGUUGCCCGUACCGUAAACCGACACAGGUGGGUGGGAUGAGUAUUCUAAGGCGCGUGGAAGAACUCUCUUUAAGGAACUCUGCAAAAUAGCACCGUAUCUUCGGUAUAAGGUGUGGUUCGCUUCGUAUUAGGAUUUACUCCGAAAGCGAAGAAACUUACAACAAAGAGUCCCUCCCGACUGUUUACCAAAAACACAGCACUCUGCUAACUCGUAAGAGGAUGUAUAGGGUGUGACGCCUGCCCGGUGCUCGAAGGUUAAUUGAUGGGGUUAGCAUUAGCGAAGCUCUUGAUCGAAGCCCGAGUAAACGGCGGCCGUAACUAUAACGGUCCUAAGGUAGCGAAAUUCCUUGUCGGUUAAAUACCGACCUGCAUGAAUGGCGUAACGAGAUGGGAGCUGUCUCAAAGAGGGAUCCAGUGAAAUUGUAGUGGAGGUGAAAAUUCCUCCUACCCGCGGCAAGACGGAAAGACCCCGUGGACCUUUACUACAGCUUGACACUGCUAUUUGGAUAAGAAUGUGCAGGAUAGGUGGGAGGCUUUGAGUAUAUGACGCCAGUUGUAUAUGAGCCAUUGUUGAGAUACCACUCUUUCUUAUUUGGGUAGCUAACCAGCUUGAGUUAUCCUCAAGUGGGACAAUGUCUGGUGGGUAGUUUGACUGGGGCGGUCGCCUCCCAAAUAAUAACGGAGGCUUACAAAGGUUGGCUCAGAACGGUUGGAAAUCGUUCGUAGAGUAUAAAGGUAUAAGCCAGCUUAACUGCAAGACAUACAAGUCAAGCAGAGACGAAAGUCGGUCUUAGUGAUCCGGUGGUUCUGUGUGGAAGGGCCAUCGCUCAAAGGAUAAAAGGUACCCCGGGGAUAACAGGCUGAUCUCCCCCAAGAGCUCACAUCGACGGGGAGGUUUGGCACCUCGAUGUCGGCUCAUCGCAUCCUGGGGCUGGAGCAGGUCCCAAGGGUAUGGCUGUUCGCCAUUUAAAGCGGUACGCGAGCUGGGUUCAGAACGUCGUGAGACAGUUCGGUCCCUAUCUGCCGUGGGCGUAAGAAGAUUGAAGAGAUUUGACCCUAGUACGAGAGGACCGGGUUGAACAAACCACUGGUGUAGCUGUUGUUCUGCCAAGAGCAUCGCAGCGUAGCUAAGUUUGGAAAGGAUAAACGCUGAAAGCAUCUAAGCGUGAAGCCAACUCUAAGAUGAAUCUUCUCUAAGCUCUCUAGAAGACUACUAGUUUGAUAGGCUGGGUGUGUAAUGGAUGAAAGUCCUUUAGCUGACCAGUACUAAUAGAGCGUUUGGCUUAUCUUUAAUAAAGCAU